RNAcentral lists this long non-coding RNA (239 nucleotides) under Panax ginseng (ginseng). RNAcentral's name for it is "long non-coding RNA (PGIN_LNC000245)". Lineage: Eukaryota; Viridiplantae; Streptophyta; Magnoliopsida; Apiales; Araliaceae. The record is from RNAcentral.
AAAAAAUAAAAAGAAUGAAAAUAAUGUGAUAGAAAGGAAAUUGAUCUUGUGUAAGCAAUACUCAGUUUUUAAAAGGUGAUCCUUUGAUAAUAAAGCAUCCAAACUAACUUAUACCAAAUUAUUUUGCCUUGUCGAGUAAUAAAAGUCAAACUGAUUGAAUUCAUGGCAAAUUCAUCAACAUUAGCUCCUAUCCAUGAAAAUAAAAUAUUUACUUCUCAAUCAAAGCCUGCUAAAAGUAA